This 484-nucleotide ribosomal RNA is filed under the name uncultured bacterium. RNAcentral describes it as "partial 16S ribosomal RNA". It matches the Rfam family "Bacterial small subunit ribosomal RNA", at positions 30 to 507 of the family's 1533-position model. The record is from RNAcentral.
AUUGAACGCUGGCGGCAGGCCUAACACAUGCAAGUCGAGCGGAUGAAGGGAGCUUGCUCCUGGAUUCAGCGGCGGACGGGUGAGUAAUGCCUAGGAAUCUGCCUGGUAGUGGGGGAUAACGUCCGGAAACGGGCGCUAAUACCGCAUACGUCCUGAGGGAGAAAGUGGGGGAUCUUCGGACCUCACGCUAUCAGAUGAGCCUAGGUCGGAUUAGCUAGUUGGUGGGGUAAAGGCCUACCAAGGCGACGAUCCGUAACUGGUCUGAGAGGAUGAUCAGUCACACUGGAACUGAGACACGGACCAGACUCCUACGGGAGGCAGCAGUGGGGAAUAUUGGACAAUGGGCGAAAGCAUGAUACAGCCAUGCCGCGUGUGUGAAGAAGGUCUUCGGAUUGUAAAGCACUUUAAGUUGGGAGGAAGCGCAGUAAGUUAAUACCUUGCUGUUUUGACGUUACCAACAGAAUAAGCACCGGCUAACUUCGUG